This 89-nucleotide transfer RNA is filed under the name Schistosoma japonicum. RNAcentral describes it as "tRNA-Leu". Lineage: Eukaryota; Metazoa; Platyhelminthes; Trematoda; Strigeidida; Schistosomatidae. The record is from RNAcentral.
UGAUUUAAACUAAUAAUAUUUGUACAAGUGCCAGAGUAGUUAUGGGUUGGCUUUAAGCGUCAAAUAUAGACAGUUAUGUCUCUUGUGUU